GGGGAAUAUUGCGCAAUGGGCGAAAGCCUGACGCAGCGACGCCGCGUGAGGGAUGAAGGUUUUCGGAUCGUAAACCUCUGUCAGUAGGGAAGAAACCGCACCGUGCUAAUCAGCGGUGCCUUGACGGUACCUUCAAAGGAAGCACCGGCUAACUCCGUGCCAGCAGCCGCGGUAAUACGAAGGGGGCUAGCGUUGCUCGGAAUCACUGGGCGUAAAGCGCACGUAGGCGGAUCGUUAAGUCAGGGGUGAAAUCCUGGGGCUCAACCUCAGAACUGCCCUUGAUACUGGCGAUCUCGAGUUCGAGAGAGGUUGGUGGAACUCCGAGGGUAGAGGUGAAAUUCGUAGAUAUUCGGAAGAACACCAGUGGCGAAGGCGGCCAACCGGCUCGAUACUGACGCUGAGGUGCGAAAGCGUGGGGAGCAAACA
Molecule: ribosomal RNA, 426 nt
Filed under: uncultured Hyphomicrobiales bacterium
Lineage: Bacteria; Pseudomonadati; Pseudomonadota; Alphaproteobacteria; Hyphomicrobiales
Description: bacterial SSU rRNA
Rfam family: Bacterial small subunit ribosomal RNA
Source: RNAcentral